Molecule: ribosomal RNA, 253 nt
Filed under: uncultured bacterium
Lineage: Bacteria
Description: partial 16S ribosomal RNA
Rfam family: Bacterial small subunit ribosomal RNA
Source: RNAcentral
UACGUAGGGUGCAAGCGUUAAUCGGAAUUACUGGGCGUAAAGCGUGCGCAGGCGGUUUUGUAAGUCUGUCGUGAAAUCCCCGGGCUCAACCUGGGAAUUGCGAUGGAGACUGCAAGGCUAGAAUCUGGCAGAGGGGGGUAGAAUUCCACGUGUAGCAGUGAAAUGCGUAGAUAUGUGGAGGAACACCGAUGGCGAAGGCAGCCCCCUGGGUCAAGACUGACGCUCAUGCACGAAAGCGUGGGGAGCAAACAGG